AGGAAAAGAAAAUAAUAAUGAUUCCCCAAGUAGUGGCGAGCGAACGGGGAUUAGCCCAAACCAAUGUUGUUACGGCAAUAUUGGGGUUGUAGGACCACGUUGUCGCAAGACAUUCAGUGAGAAGAAUUCUUUGGAAAAUGAAACCAUAGACGGUGAUAGUCCGGUAUUCGAAGCUGAACGAAGCGUAGUGGUAUCCUGAGUAGCGCGGGACACGAGGAAUCUUGCGUGAACCAGCCGGGACCAUCCGGUAAGGCUAAAUACUCCCGAGAGACCGAUAGCGAACCAGUACUGUGAAGGAAAGGUGAAAAGCACUUCGAAUAGAAGAGUGAAAUAGUCCCUGAAACCAUGCGCCUACAAGCGGUCGGAGCAGCUUAUGCUGUGACGGCGUGCCUUUUGCAUAAUGAACCUACGAGUUACUUUUUCCGGCAAGGUUAAGGAUCUGGAGAUCCGUAGCCGAAGCGAAAGCGAGUCUGAACAGGGCGAUAAGUCGGAAGGAGUAGACGCGAAACCAAGUGAUCUACCCUUGGCCAGGUUGAAGGUUAGGUAACACUAACUGGAGGACCGAACCGAUAAGCGUUGAAAAGCUUCCGGAUGAGCUGAGGGUGGGGGUGAAAGGCUAAUCAAACUUGGAGAUAGCUCGUACUCCCCGAAAUGCAUUUAGGUGCAGCCUUGUGAGUUACUAAUGUGAGGUAGAGCGACUGAUAAGAUGCGAGGGCUUCACCGCCUAUCAAGUCUUGAUAAACUCCGAAUGCGCAUUAGUUCUAUCACAGGAGUGAGGGCAUGGGUGCUAAGGUCCAUGUCCUAAAGGAGAAGAAUCCGGACCAUCAGCUAAGGUCCCGAAAUAGAUACUAAGUUGAACUAACGAAGUCAGAUUGCUAAGACAGCUAGGAUGUUGGCUUGGAAGCAGCCAUUCAUUUAAAGAGUGCGUAACAGCUCACUAGUCGAGGAGUUUGGCGUGGAUAAUAAUCGGGCAUCAAGUAUCUUACCGAAGCUAUGGGAUCAUUAAUGAUCGGUAGGGGAGCAUUCCACUCCGCGUCGAAGGUGAAGCGUGAGCUUUGCUGGAGCGUGUGGAAAAGCAAAUGUAGGUAUAAGUAACGAUAAAGGGGGUGAGAAACCCCCUCGCCGAAAGACUAAGGUUUCCUGAUCAACGCUAAUCGGAUCAGGGUUAGUCGGGUCCUAAGGCUCAGCCGAACGGUGAGGCCGAUGGCAGAACAGGUUAAUAUUCCUGUACUACCUUAAGGAGUGACGUGGAGACGGAGUCGUGACAACGCCGCGGACUGACGGAAUAGUCCGUUGAAGGGUGUAGAUGUUGAUUGUGGCAGGCAAAUCCACCACGAGAGUCGAACCUGAUAGUAUACCAAUUCCUUCGGGAAACGGUAAUAGUGCGUGUAAACAUACUCCCGAGAAAAUCCGCUAAACUUAAUCCUUGAGGUACCCGUACCGCAAACGGACACACGUAGUCGGGUUGAAUAUACUAAGGCGCUUGAGUGAUUCACGGUUAAGGAACUAGGCAAAUUGACCCUGUAACUUCGGGAUAAAGGGUCCCAACGAGAGUUGGGCGCAGAGAAUAGGUCCAGGCAACUGUUUAACAAAAACACAGGGCUGUGCCAAAUUGAAAGAUCACGUAUACAGCCUGACACCUGCCCGGUGCUGGAAGGUUAAGAGGAGAUGUCAUCGCAAGAGAAGCAUUGAAUUGAAGCCCCAGUAAACGGCGGCCGUAACUAUAACGGUCCUAAGGUAGCGAAAUUCCUUGUCGGGUAAGUUCCGACCUGCACGAAUGGUGUAAUGAUCUGGACACUGUCUCAACCGUGAGCUCAGUGAAAUUGUAGUAUCGGUGAAGAUGCCGAUUACCCGCGAUGGGACGAAAAGACCCCGUGAACCUUUACUAUAGCUUAACAUUGAAUUUGGGUAAUUGAUGUGUAGGAUAGGCCGGAGACUUUGAAGCGCAGACGCCAGUUUGUGUGGAGUCGCUGUUGAAAUACGGCCCUUUGAUUAUUUGAGUUCUAACCCGUUGUAACGGGGACACUGUUUGGUGGGUAGUUUGACUGGGGUGGUCGCCUCCAAAAGUGUAACGGAGGCUUCUAAAGGUGCCCUCAGGACGAUUGGUAACCGUCCGUAGAGUGUAAUGGCAUAAGGGCGCUUGACUGGGAGACAUACAAGUCGAUCAGGUAGGAAACUAGAGCAUAGUGAUCCGGUGUUUCCGCAUGGAAGGGACAUCGCUCAAAGGAUAAAAGGUACUCCGGGGAUAACAGGCUGAUCCCUCCCAAGAGCUCAUAUCGACGGAGGGGUUUGGCACCUCGAUGUCGGCUCGUCACAUCC
This 2319-nucleotide ribosomal RNA is filed under the name gut metagenome. RNAcentral's name for it is "bacterial LSU rRNA". It matches the Rfam family "Bacterial large subunit ribosomal RNA", at positions 214 to 2547 of the family's 2925-position model. The record is from RNAcentral.